AGUGGCGAACGGGUGAGUAAUAUAUCGGAACGUGCCCUAGAGUGGGGGAUAACGUAGCGAAAGUUACGCUAAUACCGCAUACGAUCUAAGGAUGAAAGCAGGGGACCGCAAGGCCUUGUGCUCCUGGAGCGGCCGAUAUCUGAUUAGCUAGUUGGUGGGGUAAAGGCCUACCAAGGCAUCGAUCAGUAGCUGGUCUGAGAGGACGACCAGCCACACUGGAACUGAGACACGGUCCAGACUCCUACGGGAGGCAGCAGUGGGGAAUUUUGGACAAUGGGCGCAAGCCUGAUCCAGCAAUGCCGCGUGAGUGAAGAAGGCCUUCGGGUUGUAAAGCUCUUUUGUCAGGGAAGAAACAGUGGGGGCUAAUAUCCCCUGCUAAUGACGGUACCUGAAGAAUAAGCACCGGCUAACUACGUGCCAGCAGCCGCGGUAAUACGUAGGGUGCAAGCGUUAAUCGGAAUUACUGGGCGUAAAGCGUGCGCAGGCGGUUUUGUAAGUCUGUCGUGAAAUCCCCGGGCUCAACCUGGGAAUUGCGAUGGA
This 540-nucleotide ribosomal RNA is filed under the name uncultured bacterium. Its description in RNAcentral is "bacterial SSU rRNA". It matches the Rfam family "Bacterial small subunit ribosomal RNA", at positions 94 to 630 of the family's 1533-position model. The record is from RNAcentral.